CCUACGGGAGGCAGCAGUAGGGAAUAUUGCUCAAUGGGGGAAACCCUGAAGCAGCAACGCCGCGUGGAGGAUGAAGGUUUUCGGAUUGUAAAAUCCUUUUGUUAGAGAAGAUAAUGACGGUAUCUAACGAAUAAGCACCGGCUAACUUCGUGCCAGCAGCCGCGGUAAUACGGAGGGUGCAAGCGUUACUCGGAAUCACUGGGCGUAAAGAGCGCGUAGGCGGGAUAGCAGGUCAGAUGUGAAAUCCUAUGGCUUAACCAUAGAAGUGCAUUUGAAACUGUUAUUCUAGAGUAUGUUAGAGGUAGGUGGAAUUCGUGGUGUAGCGGUAAAAUGCGUAGAGAUCAAGAAGAAUACUCAUUGCGAAGGCGACCUGCUAGAACAUAACUGACGCUGAUGCGCGAAAGCGUGGGGAGCAAACAGGAUUAGAUACCCGGGUAGUC
This 440-nucleotide ribosomal RNA is filed under the name uncultured bacterium. RNAcentral describes it as "partial 16S ribosomal RNA". It matches the Rfam family "Bacterial small subunit ribosomal RNA", at positions 338 to 795 of the family's 1533-position model. The record is from RNAcentral.